AGAAGCACCGGCUAACUCCGUGCCAGCAGCCGCGGUAAUACGGAGGGUGCAAGCGUUAAUCGGAAUUACUGGGCGUAAAGCGCACGCAGGCGGUUUGUUAAGUCAGAUGUGAAAUCCCCGGGCUCAACCUGGGAACUGCAUCUGAUACUGGCAAGCUUGAGUCUCGUAGAGGGGGGUAGAAUUCCAGGUGUAGCGGUGAAAUGCGUAGAGAUCUGG
RNAcentral lists this ribosomal RNA (216 nucleotides) under Escherichia coli. RNAcentral describes it as "partial 16S ribosomal RNA". It matches the Rfam family "Bacterial small subunit ribosomal RNA", at positions 486 to 701 of the family's 1533-position model. Lineage: Bacteria; Pseudomonadati; Pseudomonadota; Gammaproteobacteria; Enterobacterales; Enterobacteriaceae. The record is from RNAcentral.